This 488-nucleotide ribosomal RNA is filed under the name uncultured bacterium. RNAcentral describes it as "partial 16S ribosomal RNA". It matches the Rfam family "Bacterial small subunit ribosomal RNA", at positions 28 to 507 of the family's 1533-position model. The record is from RNAcentral.
GACGAACGCUGGCGGCGUGCUUAACACAUGCAAGUCGAACGCGCCUGUCCUCUGGGUUUCUGGGGGGUGGGUGAGUGGCGAACGGGUGAGUAACACGUGAGUAACCUGCCCCCUUCUUCGGGAUAACGGUCUGAAAGGGCUGCUAAUACCGGGUAUUCACUGGUCUCCGCAUGGGGUCUGGUGGAAAGGUUUUUUUCUGGUGGGGGAUGGGCUCGCGGCCUAUCAGCUUGUUGGUGGGGUGAUGGCCCACCAAGGCUUUGACGGGUAGCCGGCCUGAGAGGGUGACCGGUCACAUUGGGACUGAGAUACGGCCCAGACUCCUACGGGAGGCAGCAGUGGGGAAUAUUGCACAAUGGGCGCAAGCCUGAUGCAGCGACGCCGCGUGAGGGAUGGAGGCCUUCGGGUUGUAAACCUCUUUCGCCCGUGGUCAAGCCGCGACGUGGGUCGUGGUGAGGGUAGUGGGUAAAGAAGCGCCGGCUAACUACGUG